UGGGGAAUAUUGGACAAUGGGCGAAAGCCUGAUCCAGCCAUGCCGUGUGUGUGAAGAAGGUCUUCGGUUUGUAAAGCACUUUAAGUUGGGAGGAAGGGCAGUAAGCGAAUACCUUGCUGUUUUGACGUUACCGACAGAAUAAGCACUGGCUAACUCUGUGCCAGCAGCCGCGGUAAUACAGAGGGUGCAAGCGUUAAUCGGAAUUACUGGGCGUAAAGCGCGCGUUGGUGGUUCGUUAAGUUGAAUGUGAAAGCCCCGGGCUCAACCUGGGAACUGCAUCCACAACUGGCUAGCUAGAGUAGGGCAGAGGGUGGUGGAAUUUCCUGUGUAUCGGUGAAAUGCGUAGAUAUAGGAAGGAACACCAGUGGCGAAGGCGACCACCUGGGCUCAUACUGACACUGAGGUGCGAAAGCGUGGGGAGCAAACAGG
This 429-nucleotide ribosomal RNA is filed under the name Pseudomonadota bacterium. Its description in RNAcentral is "Proteobacteria bacterium partial 16S ribosomal RNA". It matches the Rfam family "Bacterial small subunit ribosomal RNA", at positions 355 to 776 of the family's 1533-position model. Lineage: Bacteria; Pseudomonadati; Pseudomonadota. The record is from RNAcentral.